UGCACUGAGUUGGCAUUAUGUAUGAUAUGCCUCCCUUGUCUCUAUGCCACGUGGAUUUUAAUUAAAUUAAAACAAUAAAAAUAUUAUAAAAUAAAAUGUAUGUUUUAAUUGAUUUUUAUUAAAUUAAAAAUCUAAAAGAAAAUUGGUUUCAAAACGCUUUUGUCCGUGCACUGAAUCCCUUCUCGCAAUCCUCCAAUGCCUCAUUCAUCUGCUUCCAACAUAAAAAUUCUCUCACCACCCCUUUUAAUUGUUGGCAAUAAGAUCAAUAGGGUAAGUCC
This 278-nucleotide long non-coding RNA is filed under the name Medicago truncatula (barrel medic). RNAcentral's name for it is "long non-coding RNA (MTRU_LNC002270)". Lineage: Eukaryota; Viridiplantae; Streptophyta; Magnoliopsida; Fabales; Fabaceae. The record is from RNAcentral.